GUGAAUCAUCGAAUUUUUGAACGCAAAUUGCACUCUCUGGUAUUCCGGAGAGUAUGCCUGUUUGAGGGUCAGUUUAAAUAAAAAGCGGUAUGGUUGCUGCCUUUCGUGGUGAAGCACCGGAUUUGGGUCGGCUUGCCUGCGGCUAAGUGAUCUAAAAGUUUGCAUGAUUUUUUUCGAACUUAUG
RNAcentral lists this unclassified non-coding RNA (184 nucleotides) under Glomeraceae sp. Its description in RNAcentral is "partial contains 5.8S ribosomal RNA and internal transcribed spacer 2". The stretch from base 1 to 71 matches the Rfam family "5.8S ribosomal RNA", at positions 84 to 154 of the family's 154-position model. The record is from RNAcentral. Lineage: Eukaryota; Fungi; Glomeromycota; Glomeromycetes; Glomerales; Glomeraceae.